Molecule: non-coding RNA, 1033 nt
Organism: Rattus norvegicus (Norway rat)
Lineage: Eukaryota; Metazoa; Chordata; Mammalia; Rodentia; Muridae
Source: RefSeq, a predicted model, not a curated record
UGGUGUCCCGGCAGGCUGCCUGCAACCUCCUUUUUUCCUUCCAGGAAACAGCUCAGAUCCCUCCAAGAAGAGCUACGUGGUUCAGUGGCUGUCCCGGCCUGAUCCUGAUUCGCCCAUCCAGAAGAUCUCGUCAAAAACACUAUGUAGAAGAUGCCUUAAAGUUGAAAGCUAACAGAACUGGCUGCGCACUCCAGCCUUAGAUGGGGGAUGUGAUCCGAGUAGGAGACAGGCACUGAAGAUCUAGGGGGACCCUGCCCAUUUUGCCCACCUUUUGCCAAGGGUAAGGUUUCUAAAUCCAUGUGGCCCUGCUCCCUCCCUGAGCCGUCUCUGUGUGAAGGGACUUAGCAGGCAACUCUGUCUAUCUCUGACAAAAGGGGUCCUCCUCCAAUGCCCAUCUGGCCAGUUGGCGCCGACUGUUUUGUGGAGACUCCCACAAGGGGCUCCCACAGCGCGGCCUUACACCCAGAGGGUGACACACCUGGGUCCUUAGCCGUGACCAAUGUAGCACUCCCAACUGACUGGUCCCACCAGCCCCACCUGGCCCCCCCAGCCACCUUCAUCUGUUAAUAAUUCAAGUUCCCGCUGGGCCAUGCGGCCAAGUCUCCUCCUACUCCCCUUGGCACUAAUUACUGUUAUGUAAAUAAUUGGUGUGUAACUGCAAAUUAAUCCUCUCACGACUGUUAACUUCCAACUUUGACGAGGCAAUGUGAGUGAUCUCUGUGGUCGCAGUCACGGGGCGCGACACGGUCCUGGGCAUUUGCCUCCUGUCUGUAUGCACUUUGGUUUAUCAGGGAUAUUUUAUUAGUGUUUUGUAUGUACUUAAUGACGUAUCACGUAGGUUCCGUUGUCGUCGUCGUCGUUGCUUUUCUGUUGUUGUUGUUGUUGUUUUCUUUCUUUCCAUGAGACAUUAGCGUGUGCCAAAGUGACUGUGAAAAUGACCUUUUAAUUCUUACUAAUGAUGGAAAGACCUCUUGUCAUGCAUCUCACAAAUAAACUUAAUAAAAGUUCAGUUCAACUGGGAAAAAAAAAUAAA